GUGAGAAGAGAACCAAAGGAAAGAGCAGGGUAACAAUACCUCAGAGAAGAGAGAAUCCUGGAGAAUAUGGUCCACAGUGUAAUGUUGCAGAGAAAUCAAGAAGAAUCAGAAAGGAUUCACAGAUCUGACAACUAAGAGAUACCUGGUCAGGGCUCCCCUCCAUGGCAAAUGGGACAUUUGUCUAAUGAGUUGUGAACAAAUCUGUGGGUACAGCAAUGGCUCAAGCCUCUGGAAAACUCUGUCCAUUGCCCUGGAAUUCUGGGGGUUUGCCCAAGGCAUCGAGGAGUUUAUUCUACCCUGACACCAUCCUAAUCAGAAAGAAGCAGUUUGCCAAAUCUAGGUGGCACAAUGGGAAGAUGUGGAGUCAGGAGGACAACUUUCCCACUUCAGGCCUGAUAAUCAAUCCACUGCACCAAAGAGAUGAUUAUUCUCUGCAGGUUGCACUAUAGUCACUGGGAUAUCUACUGGAUUGUAAGAUACAUGAGAACAUGGACUCUUUCCUAUAUGUACUCAUAUCCCUCUCAGUACCAGGAUAGUCCCUUGAAAACUAUAGGUGUGUUAUACAUAUGUGGUGAGUGAGUCAAUCGAUCAGUCACCAAUUCGUUCAUUUAUUUUCUCAUGGAUUCCUCAAUUAGUGUAUAAAAAGGAGGACUUACUGGAUCCAAAAUCAGGAAGUCCUUUCUGUGCGUGAAAAGUUUUAUUUACAAUUUCUAUUUUUCUCAAAUUAAAAAUAGAUGUCAGUGACAAAGCAAGCUUUUCUGUGUACAAUUCUAGUUCUCAGCCACCUCGUUUGCUAUCUAAUUCCCCUUCUUUGGAUUGAUAUAUGUCUCUGAACUAUCCUAUCUCUGGGACAAGAUAACACAUCAGAUUGCUUAGAGAUCAGAGGAUCAGAGUUGCAAGGGAUGGAUUCCUUCAUUUUACAGAUAAGGAAACUGAGGCCCUGACUCCACAUUAAGUAACUCAGCUAAGGUCCCUCAGACAGUAAAUACAACAGUCAAAAUUUGAACACAAGUCCUUUUGUCUUCUCCUCAAUCUGUUAAUCCCCAACACUGAAGCCCAGUUCCAGCCAUGCUAAUCUGCUUCUUGGAAUCUGGUCACUUGGUUUGUUGCUUCCUGUUUCUGUACCUGUCUUAGUACAAAUCCAUUCUUCUUCCCACUGUAUCUCAUUGCCUUUUGGGUUCUUGGAGAAAGACAUGUCAUGAUCAAAUGAGCUGAUAGAAACAAAAGCAUGGUUCACCCUCCCCCCAGAAGUCCAAUCCCUGGGAUGUUCACUUACCAACUACUGCUAGUCUCCAUGGAUCACUUCUGUAAUACUUUAGAAAGAGGGUUCUCUUUAAUUGUUCCCUCUUCCCCUUGACCCUUAUUUCUUCAUUCUCUUUUUUAAAAAUCCAGGGAAAGAACUAUGACAGGUGAAUUUUCUGAUAAUGGGACACAUGCUCGUAACCACAAGAUUUACACCCAAACCUUCAUAAACAGAUUUCUUUACUAUCAUUAACGCCUUCACUUUGCACAUUCCUUAUAGAUAAGACAUCACUUUCUCCCUGCUGCUCACUGGAAAUGUGAUAGAGUGUAAUCAGCCUGGCAAAUGAUUUUCAAAAGUCAUGAUGCUACUAAAAUUCUCUCCUGCUGAAAAAUCCCUAUUUGCAUUUUCCAAUGUCACCCCCACACACACACCCUCUCUCUUGCUGACUUUCCCCUCCCUCUACUGCUCCCUGCAUGGCUAGGAUAAGAGAAUGAAGAUCUCUUCCUACAGAAAUUCACAGUCCUUUCAAAACAGACAAAUUCAGCAGACGUCACUUCUUUUAAGCCACUUGCAUGAUUUCAUUUUUUUUCUGGCCACAGCAGCAAUGACCUGAUCAUGAGACUCUUUCCAUACAUGCAUAGGUCCACCCUGGACUGGAAAUCAAAAGUCCUGAUUUCUAGUUCUGCUCUGACACUGUGCACAAUACUUAAACUAGUUUCUCUAAUUCUCUGCAUUUUAUUAUAUACAUCAGUAAAAGAAGGAUAAUUCAGUUUAGUUCAGUUUAAUUCACUUCAAAUCAUUUCCGUUUAGCAGACACUUAUUAAGUAGAUGUUAAGAUCAAAGUCCUAAGUAUUGGGAACACAAAGACAAAAUGAAAUAUAUCAUUGGUCUAAAGGAACUUGCAGUCUACUACUUAUUUUAAAAGUUAUGCUAUGAGGCUAAACUUAGAUAACUUCCUUGGAAGUGCAUGAGUAUUAAGAAGUUCAUGUAAAUUCAAGGAGUUAUUUUCUCAUUCUCUUUGAACUUUGCCUUUAUAAUGUUUUAUGCUGCUUUAAGAAAACAUUUCAGUUGAGGGGAGCAUAGGUGAGUGCAUUUCGGGGGGCUCAGACUCCCUUCUGAGCCAACAGAUGGACUCUGCCUAGUGUUCUGAAAGCCUGCCUUGUCAAAUUCCCUUAAACCACCAGGGAGAGAGAAUCCUGAAUGCCACAGACUCUGCUGAGCUCUUCCUUCCUGACUUCCUCUUCCCCAGUAGGAGACCAAUUCAGGGGCUCCUCAUCUGACUGCUCCCAAGGUAUUGCAGGGUCUGUCAGGAAAGUGUUCCAUUCUGUAUCUUACUCCCCUUGGAUCUUCGCAGGUCUGGGCUGUGUAAACAUGUUAUCUCUUGUCUUCUUAUCAACUCACUCCCAACUCUGAUAGGAAAGAAGGAAAAACAUAUUCUUAUUCUCUCUCUCUCUCUCUCUCUCUUUCUCUCUCUCUCUCUCUCUCUCUCUCUCUCUCUCUCUCUCUCUCUCUCUCUCUCUCUCUCUCUCUCUCUCUCUCUCUCUCUCUCUCUCUCUCCUACCUUAGAAUCAAUACUGUGUAUUGGUUCUAAGGCAGAAGAGUGGUAAAGGCUAAGAAAUGGGGGUUAAGUGACUUGCCCAGGGUCGCACAGCUAGGAAGUAUUUGAGGCCACAUUUGAACCCAUAACCUCCCAUCUCUGGGCCUGACUCAAUCCACUGAGUCACUUCACUGCUCCUCCUCUCUCUCUUUUUAAUUGACAAUUCAACAAUCUCUUAUCAAAUGUAUCUCAUAUGCACAGAUACUGUGUAGAGGAUACAAAGACUUUAAAUAAAUGACAGCUUCUUCUUUUACA
Monodelphis domestica (gray short-tailed opossum) is the source of this 3095-nucleotide long non-coding RNA. The record is from Ensembl. NCBI's taxonomy places the organism in Eukaryota, Metazoa, Chordata, Mammalia, Didelphimorphia, Didelphidae.